CCUACGGGAGGCAGCAGUGAGGAAUAUUGCGCAAUGGGGGAAACCCUGACGCAGCAACGCCGCGUGGGUGAUGAAGGCCUUCGGGUCGUAAAGCUCUGUCAAGUGGGAAAAAAGCUUACUGGUGAAUAGCCAGGAAGACUGAUGGUACCAUUGAAGGAAGCACCGGCUAACUCCGUGCCAGCAGCCGCGGUAAUACGGAGGGUGCAAGCGUUGUUCGGAAUUACUGGGCGUAAAGGGCGUGUAGGCGGUGUGGUAUGUCAGAUGUGAAAGCCCUGGGCUUAACCCAGGAAGUGCAUUUGAAACUGCCAUGCUUGAGUAUGGGAGAGGAGAGUGGAAUUCCCAGUGUAGAGGUGAAAUUCGUAGAUAUUGGGAGGAACACCCGUGGCGAAGGCGACUCUCUGGACCAAUACUGACGCUGAGGCGCGAAAGCGUGGGGAGCAAACAGGAUUAGAUACCCUGGUAGUCCACGCCGUAAACGAUGAGCACUAGGUGUAGCGGGUAUUGACCCCUGCUGUGCCGUAGCUAACGCAUUAAGUGCUCCGCCUGGGGAGUACGGCCGCAAGGCUAAAACUUAAAGGAAUUGACGG
Molecule: ribosomal RNA, 587 nt
Filed under: uncultured bacterium
Lineage: Bacteria
Description: bacterial SSU rRNA
Rfam family: Bacterial small subunit ribosomal RNA
Source: RNAcentral